AAGAAAAGGCUGGAUUGAACAUCAUGCCUGAGGGAAGAUAAGUCAUUCCAGGGAAAAAGGUGGCAUUCAUAUUUGUCCCAACCAUUGGUGAAGUGUACAUGCCAUUUAAAGAAUCUUGAGGAACCUGAUUCUGAUGGUUGGGUUGACUAGAAACCGAGAAUAAAGAUUCAGACAGUGAAUCCUUAGAAUCUCCUUCAUCUUUGCUCUUCAAGGCCUCUUCAUGGAUGGACAAACCACUCAUUAAGUCAUUAACAUCUUUCCUAGCAUGUUCUUG
This 274-nucleotide unclassified non-coding RNA is filed under the name Hevea brasiliensis (rubber tree). The record is from RNAcentral. Lineage: Eukaryota; Viridiplantae; Streptophyta; Magnoliopsida; Malpighiales; Euphorbiaceae.